CUGAUCUUCCUUGAUAAGCUGUCUAAAAUAAGACUCUGGAUUCUGCAGAAAUGUCCCCCCCAGCAGUAAAUCUCAACGACAAUGUGCAGUAGACGAAAGAUAAAAGCGACGAACCUGAUCCGAAUCCAGAAGGCAGUAGUUAACCCGUAACUGAACCAGCUGCGCCAGCAAAUCCAAAACCUGCUUCUGUAACUGCACAGAGGUUGUUGUCGUGUACUGUUUUAAAGCUUUUAUAACAAGAGGCUCAAAUAAACGAAUGUGAUUAUGAA
This is a long non-coding RNA of Lagenorhynchus albirostris (white-beaked dolphin), 269 nucleotides long. RefSeq lists it as uncharacterized. The record is from RefSeq and is a predicted model, not a curated record. Lineage: Eukaryota; Metazoa; Chordata; Mammalia; Artiodactyla; Delphinidae. The transcript has 2 exons.